Molecule: ribosomal RNA, 392 nt
Filed under: Phascolarctos cinereus (koala)
Lineage: Eukaryota; Metazoa; Chordata; Mammalia; Diprotodontia; Phascolarctidae
Description: partial 12S ribosomal RNA
Rfam family: Bacterial small subunit ribosomal RNA
Source: RNAcentral
GCUUUACGCGUAAACUUAGAUAGUUUAAUAACGAAACUAUUCGCCAGAGAACUACUAGCCAGCGCUUAAAACUCAAAGGACUUGACGGUGUCCUAAGCCCAUCUAGAGGAGCCUGUCCUAUAACCGAUGAACCCCGAUACACCCCACCUCUUCUUGCCAAUACAGCCUAUAUACCGCCAUCGUCAGCCUACCCCAAUAGGGACCAAAAGUAAGCAAAAUCAUCAACCAUAAAAACGUUAGGUCAAGGUGUAGCAUAUGAAGAGGAAAGUGAUGGGCUACAUUUUCUAACAUAGAAAAUUACGGACUAUCUUAUGAAACCUAAGAUAUACGAAGGAGGAUUUAGCAGUAAAUUAAGAAUAGAGAGCUUAAUUGAAACAGGCAAUAGGACGCGU